RNAcentral lists this ribosomal RNA (468 nucleotides) under uncultured bacterium. RNAcentral describes it as "partial 16S ribosomal RNA". It matches the Rfam family "Bacterial small subunit ribosomal RNA", at positions 28 to 507 of the family's 1533-position model. The record is from RNAcentral.
GACGAACGCUGGCGGCGUGCUUAACACAUGCAAGUCGAACGGAAAGGCCCUGCUUUUGUGGGGUGCUCGAGUGGCGAACGGGUGAGUAACACGUGAGUAACCUGCCCUUGACUUUGGGAUAACUUCAGGAAACUGGGGCUAAUACCGGAUAGGAGCUCCUGCUGCAUGGUGGGGGUUGGAAAGUUUCGGCGGGUGGGGAUGGACUCGCGGCUUAUCAGCUUGUUGGUGGGGUAGUGGCUUACCAAGGCUUUGACGGGUAGCCGGCCUGAGAGGGUGACCGGCCACAUGGGGACUGAGAUACGGACCAGACGCCUACGGGAGGCAGCAGUGGGGAAUAUGGCACAAUGGGCGGAAGCCUGAUGCAGCAACGCCGCGUGCGGGAUGACGGCUUUCGGGUUGUAAACCGCUUUCGCCUGUGACGAAGCGUGAGUGACGGUAAUGGGUAAAGAAGCACCGGCUAACUACGUG